This 1078-nucleotide long non-coding RNA is filed under the name Taeniopygia guttata (zebra finch). RNAcentral describes it as "lncRNA (ENSTGUG00000029387.1)". Lineage: Eukaryota; Metazoa; Chordata; Aves; Passeriformes; Estrildidae. The record is from RNAcentral.
CCUUCCCUUCCCUUCCCUUCCCUUCCCUUCCCUUCCCUUCCCUUCCCUAUGGAAUGCCGUUCCCUAUGGAAUGUCCCUCCCCUGGCACGGCUCUCCCUGGCACAUCCCUCGCUCCGUGCCAGCUCCAGCGGCGCUUUUCCAGGGGCCGGGAACAUUCGGGAAUUCCCGAGCAGCCCUGGACGCGUUUCCAGCGGCGCUGGAAAACUCCGGGAGCGGCUCUGGAAAACUCCGGGAGCGCUCCCGGCGGGACAAGGGCGGCUUUGUGGGAGUUGUUGUUGUUGUUGCCGCUGGAAUUCGCCGGGAUCCGCAGCUUUUCCACGCCAGAAACUCGCCGCUCCCACCCGAGUUUCCCCCGGGAUUGGGGGAUCCCAGAUCCCAUCCCGCUCCCGAGGGAAACUUCCCGGGAAUUCCCGAUCCCCCCGCGCCGGGAGCGGCGGGAGGGCCGGGAAUGCUCCCGCUGCUCCGGCAAUUCUGCCAUUCCCAUUCCCAUUCCCAUUCCCAUUCCCAUUCCCAUUCCCAUUCCCAUUCCCUUAAUCCCGACCUUUUGGGAGCCGAGCCUCGGGAUCAGCGGGAAAAACCGGGAAUGCCGGAGAGGAGGGAAAACCGGGACUUACUGCGCCGCUGGAUGCGGCGUUUUCCAGCGCUGCCUCCAAAUCCCGGGAUUUCUCAGCCGGGAACAAACUCUGCCCACAUGGAACUGCGGGCUCGGCUUUUCCAGAGGCACGAUCCCGCCGGGAAACGCCCACAGCGAUGAUCCCAGAGCCGAUCAACCCGGAAAUCAGCGCGGCCAAACGCGGCCGGGAUCGGAUCCAGCGGCGAGGAAGUGGAAAAAAAAGCAGGAAAAAAUAUCAAAAUUCCAGCCCCGCCACGCAUCCGCGCCUCUGGAAAACUCCCGGAGCUCCUCCCGAGAAUUCCAACCCUCCCGCGGCUGCUCAUUCCCAGAUUAUUCCCACAAAUCCCAGCCCGGAGAGUUUCCCGUUCUGCUUCCCAAAAAUCCGCUGCUUUUCCUGCAGUGUUCCGCUGGGAACGGCUUUCCCCAAUUUCAGAGAGUGGGAUGGGGAGGGAUGAGCGGGCUUGG